RNAcentral lists this long non-coding RNA (199 nucleotides) under Cicer arietinum (chickpea). RNAcentral describes it as "long non-coding RNA (CARI_LNC003654)". Lineage: Eukaryota; Viridiplantae; Streptophyta; Magnoliopsida; Fabales; Fabaceae. The record is from RNAcentral.
GACUUCAUAAUCACAGUCAUAAUCGAUUUGGUAUUGAGCUGAAUCCAUUCUGUAACUUAAACAUUAGCUUCAAUCGAUUCGUCAAUCGAUUGUGCUGAUCACAGUGACUCAGACUUUUACAUCAAUCGAUUUUCCAAUCGAUUGUGCUGAUCACAAUGACUCAGACAUAAACGUCAAUCGAUUUGCCAAUCGAUUGUGC